This is a non-coding RNA of Chlorocebus sabaeus (green monkey), 2340 nucleotides long. Lineage: Eukaryota; Metazoa; Chordata; Mammalia; Primates; Cercopithecidae. The record is from RefSeq and is a predicted model, not a curated record.
UGCACUCAAGCCUGAGCAACAGAGAGAGACUCCAUCUUAAAAAAAAAAAAAAAAAAAAAAAUAUCGAUCUGUCAGGGACUGCACCCUAAUCUCUUAAUAUGUCGCAAUGCAGUUCUCUUAGUUUUUCUCCGUCUUUUCCCAUCACAUUCUGCUUUUCUCAACCUCUACCCACACCCAGAGCCUGCUUCUUCUGCUUUUUUCUUUUAUUCUCAUGAUAUUUUUCUUCACUCUCUGCACCCUCCCCCACCCCAGCAUGGUUCUAUUUUUAGAAUGUUCAUACAUAAAAUCAGAGGAUUAGAAAAGGGUUUUAAGGGGCCAUCUGCCCACUUUGUUACCUCCAGGCAAACCUGUGCUUAAAAGGCCCAGGAAAGAUCAGAGGGCAUAUCCAAGCCCAAUGUCAGGAUGUACUCCAGCGUCUCACAACUUCUCCCAUAAAAAAAAAUGGCCUCAAUGUCUAACUUAAACCUCUCCGUUCAAUACUACUCUCCUUUUUCUCCUCACCUCUUGAGUCUCAUCACAGACAUAAAGCACCUUUGUGAGACAGAACUGUUGGGAAGUUUAACCCACAAUGACAUAGUGGAACAUCCCAGGCCAUAACGAUCAUAGUUUCAAUGUAAAAACAGAUUCAGGAACACAGAAUGGGCUAGAGGCUAUGGCAGUUAGGUGGAUUGGGCUUCUGUAAAAUCAACAAAGACAGAACAAAUAAGCAAAAACCAACAAGCACAACCCUACUGGACUCACAGUUUCUAGCAAACUAUCUCAAUUAACAUGAAAAGUCCACGAAGCAAGGAAUUCUAAAAUCAUAGCCCCCUUAGGUUGGAAAGGCCCUUCAUUAGAUGUUAUCAAGUCCAACUUUUUAUGCAGAGUUGGCAGCCUGCAUAGCACAAAGUCUAUCUCUGUUGAUUAUAGUUGAAUAACGAAUGGCGGUCAUUUGGUACUGGUUCUUCCAUCAGCAUAUAAAAAAUUUCUUCAAAGCAACUCUCCCAGGACCCUGGAUAGGAGGCAAGGCAGGUGUUCACCUGGACAGGGCCUGCUGCUCCAGAUGUUACCCUUUUUGGUCUGUGCUAACCUGCCGAGGUAGUCUACAGUCUUAAUAGAGACAGUGUGGUCUAGUGUGUAGGUCACUCAACAAGAAGGCAGAUUUCAAAACCUGCCGCAUUUUCUUGCUUCCUCCUUCAGAUGGCAAGAGGCAGACAACUCAACUAAAGAGAAGAGGAUUCACAGCAAGUUGCUGACCCAGUUUACAGCACAGCUGUCCUCUUCCAUAGAAUGGGAAGAAGUUUUAUGCUUUUAUGCUUCUCUGUACCGUCGACCUCAAAGUUCGAAAACAAGUAAGAACCUUCUAUCUUGGGGAAGUCUGGCAAAUGCUCCAUAGAGGCUGCUGUGGAAGGGAAUCAUUUCACAUCCCAUGUUAGGAUAAGGCCUGAAACCCUGCCUGGGUAAAUAAGAGCGGCACAGGGAGUGGGCUUCAGUCCUGUCUCAUUUACAUGGUCUUGGACACACAUCCUAUCGGUUUCUGGGACCUGUUUUUCUCCAUCUGUCAAACAAGGUGGUGCUCUAAAGACCUUCCUGCUGUAGCGAUCUUGCUUCACCUUGGGUAAAUGCUGCAGCCAUAAGAGAGGAGGUAGGGUCUUUGUCCUCAUGGGUCUCCCACCAGGCCCAAGGCUUCUCCAAGCCUUGCUGAGCCAGGAGGGCAACUCCUAGCCCCUCUGCCAAGAAUCUACUUUCCUUCCCUCAAUGAUUGAUCCUGCUCAGAAAUCAGCCAAUUUUGGGGGUAGGAGGCGUCCAACAUGAAAGAAACACUACAAAGAAACGCUUAGGUAAACUCUCCACCUCUACACACACCCAUACACAUACACUGACACAGAUACAUACAUGAACCCUGAAAUGUAAGUAUUUUCCCUUCCAUGUAUCAAACCUCUUUUGCCCUCUUGAAUUGCCAGUGUGCUGGGAGAGAAUUCAGUCCCACCGUGGAAAAGCACUGCUUCCACUUACGGAACUCAGCUAAACUUCAGUGUUUAGGGAUGACCCUGGGCACAGGUUGAAGCUAAAGGUCCUAACACACCUCAACUGCAGUGCAGAAAUGCAGAGUUUACCAGCCAUGACUGGGGCAGUAGCUAACUAGAAGCACAGGACCAGGAUCCAGAUCCUUUCUUCCUUGCUCUUCCACUUCCACUGCCUCCCCGACCCUAGAUGUGUUAUUCUGUAACACUGGUCGCCUGCUCGAGCCUGCUCAUCUGCCUGCAUAGAGUGCCGUGGACUUGCUCUGCAAUGCACUGUAUAUUGUGUAUGUUCUGACUCUGUGGUUUACUGCAAAUAAAAAUGACAGCAGGUGGCUGA